RNAcentral lists this unclassified non-coding RNA (378 nucleotides) under uncultured Gammaproteobacteria bacterium. RNAcentral describes it as "contains 16S-23S intergenic spacer region". The record is from RNAcentral. Lineage: Bacteria; Pseudomonadati; Pseudomonadota; Gammaproteobacteria.
UCCGGUUCAUCACCAGCAGUCUCUUUAGAGUCCCCAGCAUUACCUGAUGGCAACUAAAGAUAAGGGUUGCGCUCGUUACGGGACUUAACCCAACAUCUCACAACACGAGCUGACGACAGCCAUGCAGCACCUGUGUUCAGGUUCCUUUCGGCACUUCUGCAUCUCUGCAAAAUUCCUGACAUGUCAAGGGUAGGUAAGGUUCUUCGCGUUGCAUCGAAUUAAACCACAUACUCCACCGCUUGUGCGGGCCCCCGUCAAUUCCUUUGAGUUUUAACCUUGCGGCCGUACUCCCCAGGCGGAAAACUUAUCGCGUUAGCUUCGAUACUAAACAGUCAAGCUGCCCAACAUCUAGUUUUCAUCGUUUACAGCGUGGACUAC